GGCAUAGACCGCGUCGGCCUUAGUGUCAAGCGGAACAAUUAAGGCACGCGGUGAAUGCCGA
RNAcentral lists this microRNA precursor (61 nucleotides) under Eisenia fetida (common brandling worm). RNAcentral's name for it is "Efe-Mir-124-P14_pre stem-loop". The record is from RNAcentral. Lineage: Eukaryota; Metazoa; Annelida; Clitellata; Crassiclitellata; Lumbricidae.